GACGAACGCUGGCGGCGUGCCUAAUACAUGCAAGUUGAGCGCUGAAAGUUGGUACUUGUACCGACUGGAUGAGCAGCGAACGGGUGAGUAACGCGUGGGGAAUCUGCCUUUGAGCGGGGGACAACAUUUGGAAACGAAUGCUAAUACCGCAUAAAAACUUUAAACACAAGUUUUAAGUUUGAAAGAUGCAAUUGCAUCACUCAAAGAUGAUCCCGCGUUGUAUUAGCUAGUUGGUGAGGUAAAGGCUCACCAAGGCGAUGAUACAUAGCCGACCUGAGAGGGUGAUCGGCCACAUUGGGACUGAGACACGGCCCAAACUCCUACGGGAGGCAGCAGUAGGGAAUCUUCGGCAAUGGACGAAAGUCUGACCGAGCAACGCCGCGUGAGUGAAGAAGGUUGUCGGAUCGUAAAACUCUGUUGGUAGAGAAGAACGUUGGUGAGAGUGGAAAGCUCAUCAAGUGACGGUAACUACCCAGAAAGGGACGGCUAACUACGUG
Molecule: ribosomal RNA, 497 nt
Filed under: uncultured bacterium
Lineage: Bacteria
Description: partial 16S ribosomal RNA
Rfam family: Bacterial small subunit ribosomal RNA
Source: RNAcentral